UGCGGCUGGAUCACCUCCUUUCUAAGGAUGAUCCUUCAGAGAGCUCACGCUCGCUAUCGGAUCGUUUUAGAAACAUUCAGGGGCCAACAGUCCUGGGAUUGUUGAGCUCCAUUGGCGGGAUUUCGCCGUCUUCGUUUCUCUUUCUUCGCGGACGAACACGCGCCGGGGCUGCGCUGUGCCAAGCAUCGGCGCUUUGCCGAUCGCGUGCGGCAUGAGCUCCUCGUGUCAGGGGCUUGUAGCUCAGUUGGUUAGAGCGCGCGCUUGAUAAGCGUGAGGUCGGAAGUUCAAGUCUUCCCAGGCCCACCAGCCUUCGCGCUCUGCGCUUCGGCCCGGCAGGCCCUUCCGACGAAGGCUGCUGCGCCGUAGCCUUGGCGAAGGC
This 379-nucleotide transfer RNA is filed under the name Bradyrhizobium elkanii. RNAcentral describes it as "partial 16S-23S ribosomal RNA intergenic spacer". The stretch from base 230 to 303 matches the Rfam family "tRNA". Lineage: Bacteria; Pseudomonadati; Pseudomonadota; Alphaproteobacteria; Hyphomicrobiales; Nitrobacteraceae. The record is from RNAcentral.